CCUACGGGUGGCAGCAGUGAGGAAUAUUGGUCAAUGGGCGCGAGCCUGAACCAGCCAAGUAGCGUGAAGGAUGACUGCCCUAUGGGUUGUAAACUUCUUUUAUAAAGGAAUAAAGUGAGGCACGCGUGCCUGUUUGGAGGUACUUUAUGAAUAAGGAUCGGCUAACUCCGUGCCAGCAGCCGCGGGAAUACGGAGGAUCCGAGCGUUAUCCGGAUUUAUUGGGUUUAAAGGGAGCGUAGAUGGGUUGUUAAGUCAGUGGGGAAAGUUUGCGGCUCAACCGCGAAAUUGCAAUUGAAACUGGCAGUCUUGAGUACAGUUGAGGUAUGCGGAAUGCGUGGUGUAGCGGUGAAAUGCUUAGAUAUCACGAAGAACUCCGAUUGCGAAGGCAGCUUACUAAACUGCCACUGACAUUGAUGCUCGAAAGCGUGGGUAUCAAACAGGAUUAGAUACCCUUGUAGUC
Molecule: ribosomal RNA, 460 nt
Filed under: uncultured bacterium
Lineage: Bacteria
Description: partial 16S ribosomal RNA
Rfam family: Bacterial small subunit ribosomal RNA
Source: RNAcentral